This 216-nucleotide long non-coding RNA is filed under the name Elaeis guineensis (African oil palm). RNAcentral's name for it is "long non-coding RNA (EGUI_LNC049781)". Lineage: Eukaryota; Viridiplantae; Streptophyta; Magnoliopsida; Arecales; Arecaceae. The record is from RNAcentral.
CUUGAGCUAACCAAUUCUGUUCAAUCGACCUAUUGAUGUCUAAAGUAAGUUAAUGAGAUAUGAUUAUUUAAUUGGUUCCAUUUGCCAACCUCGUCAAUCUAUUAGUGUCUUAGGAAGGCAAUGGGGGGACCCCCAUCGAUCUCCACUUACCUGGCCAAUUUGGAAGAUUUAGACUUGAAUUAGGUUGCUUAGCAAUCUGGUUUAGUCCAUGCCACU